RNAcentral lists this ribosomal RNA (625 nucleotides) under uncultured bacterium. RNAcentral describes it as "bacterial SSU rRNA". It matches the Rfam family "Bacterial small subunit ribosomal RNA", at positions 879 to 1504 of the family's 1533-position model. The record is from RNAcentral.
AGUACGGCCGCAAGGUUAAAACUCAAAUGAAUUGACGGGGGCCCGCACAAGCGGUGGGGCAUGUGGUUUAAUUCGAUGCAACGCGAAGAACCUUACCUGGCCUUGACAUCCACGGAAUUCGGCAGAGAUGCCUUAGUGCCUUCGGGAACCGUGAGACAGGUGCUGCAUGGCUGUCGUCAGCUCGUGUUGUGAAAUGUUGGGUUAAGUCCCGCAACGAGCGCAACCCUUAUCCUUUGUUGCCAGCGAUUCGGUCGGGAACUCAAAGGAGACUGCCGGUGAUAAACCGGAGGAAGGUGGGGAUGACGUCAAGUCAUCAUGGCCCUUACGGCCAGGGCUACACACGUGCUACAAUGGCGCAUACAAAGAGAAGCGACCUCGCGAGAGCAAGCGGACCUCAUAAAGUGCGUCGUAGUCCGGAUCGGAGUCUGCAACUCGACUCCGUGAAGUCGGAAUCGCUAGUAAUCGUGGAUCAGAAUGCCACGGUGAAUACGUUCCCGGGCCUUGUACACACCGCCCGUCACACCAUGGGAGUGGGUUGCAAAAGAAGUAGGUAGCUUAACCUUCGGGAGGGCGCUUACCACUUUGUGAUUCAUGACUGGGGUGAAGUCGUAACAAGGUAACCGUA